GAUGAACGCUAGCUACAGGCUUAACACAUGCAAGUCGAGCGGGGACAUGCGACGGAGACGAAGUUUUCGGAUGGAGUCAAAGAUGUAUGUUCUAGCGGCGGACGGGUGAGUAACGCGUGAGCAACCUGUCCCUUACAGGGGGAUAACACAGCGAAAGUUGUACUAAUACCGCAUAAGACCACAGUAUCACAUGGUACAGGGGUCAAAGGAGCAAUCCGGUGUGGGGUGGGCUCGCGUCCGAUUAGAUAGUUGGUGAGGUAACGGCCCACCAAGUCAACGAUCGGUAGCCGACCUGAGAGGGUGAUCGGCCACAUUGGGACUGAGACACGGCCCAAACUCCUACGGGAGGCAGCAGUGGGGAAUAUUGGGCAAUGGGGGGAACCCUGACCCAGCAACGCCGCGUGAGGGAAGAAGGUUUUCGGGUCGUAAACCUCUGUCCUUGGUGAAGAGGAGAGACGGUAGCCAGAGAGCCCGGCUACUACGUGCAGCAGCGCGUAUACGUAGGGGCAGCGUGUCGAUGAUACGUAAGGCGCGUAGCGCCGUAGUCUGAUGAAGCCUGGUUACUGGAAUUGCUUUGUAAUGUGCUGUGCGGGAGAAUUGGAUUUCUUGCGCUUAUGCUAUUUGGGGAACCCUCGGGGAAAUUUUUGUUUACUCUCAGCCAAUUGGAAGAAAAUCAGA
This 678-nucleotide ribosomal RNA is filed under the name uncultured bacterium. RNAcentral's name for it is "bacterial SSU rRNA". The stretch from base 6 to 513 matches the Rfam family "Bacterial small subunit ribosomal RNA", at positions 33 to 541 of the family's 1533-position model. The record is from RNAcentral.